This 999-nucleotide ribosomal RNA is filed under the name Curtobacterium luteum. RNAcentral's name for it is "bacterial SSU rRNA". It matches the Rfam family "Bacterial small subunit ribosomal RNA", at positions 333 to 1340 of the family's 1533-position model. The record is from RNAcentral. Lineage: Bacteria; Bacillati; Actinomycetota; Actinomycetes; Micrococcales; Microbacteriaceae.
AGACUCCUACGGGAGGCCAGCAGUGGGGGAAUAUUGCACAAUGGGCGAAAGCCUGAUGCAGCAANCGCCGCGUGAGGGNAUGACGGCCUUCGGGUUGUAAACCUCUUUUAGUAGGGAAGAAGCGAAAGUGACGGUACCUGCAGAAAAAGCACCGGCUAACUACGUGCCAGCAGCCGCGGUAAUACGUAGGGUGCAAGCGUUGUCCGGAAUUAUUGGGCGUAAAGAGCUCGUAGGCGGUUUGUCGCGUCUGCUGUGAAAUCCCGAGGCUCAACCUCGGGCUUGCAGUGGGUACGGGCAGACUAGAGUGCGGUAGGGGAGAUUGGAAUUCCUGGUGUAGCGGUGGAAUGCGCAGAUAUCAGGAGGAACACCGAUGGCGAAGGCAGAUCUCUGGGCCGUAACUGACGCUGAGGAGCGAAAGCGUGGGGAGCGAACAGGAUUAGAUACCCUGGUAGUCCACGCCGUAAACGUUGGGCGCUAGAUGUAGGGACCUUUCCACGGUUUCUGUGUCGUAGCUAACGCAUUAAGCGCCCCGCCUGGGGAGUACGGCCGCAAGGCUAAAACUCAAAGGAAUUGACGGGGGCCCGCACAAGCGGCGGAGCAUGCGGAUUAAUUCGAUGCAACGCGAAGAACCUUACCAAGGCUUGACAUACACCGGAAACGGCCAGAGAUGGUCGCCCCCUUGUGGUCGGUGUACAGGUGGUGCAUGGUUGUCGUCAGCUCGUGUCGUGAGAUGUUGGGUUAAGUCCCGCAACGAGCGCAACCCUCGUUCUAUGUUGCCAGCGCGUUAUGGCGGGGACUCAUAGGAGACUGCCGGGGUCAACUCGGAGGAAGGUGGGGAUGACGUCAAAUCAUCAUGCCCCUUAUGUCUUGGGCUUCACGCAUGCUACAAUGGCCGGUACAAAGGGCUGCGAUACCGUAAGGUGGAGCGAAUCCCAAAAAGCCGGUCUCAGUUCGGAUUGAGGUCUGCAACUCGACCUCAUGAAGUCGGAGUCGCUAGUA